Molecule: ribosomal RNA, 254 nt
Filed under: uncultured bacterium
Lineage: Bacteria
Description: partial 16S ribosomal RNA
Rfam family: Bacterial small subunit ribosomal RNA
Source: RNAcentral
GACGUAGGGCGCGAGCGUUGUCCGGAUUUACUGGGCGUAAAGGGCGCGUAGGCGGUCGUGACAAGUCACUUGUGAAAUCUCCGGGCUUAACUCGGAACGGUCAAGUGAUACUGUCGGACUAGAGUACAGAAGGGGCAACUGGAAUUCUCGGUGUAGCGGUGAAAUGCGUAGAUAUCGAGAGGAACACCUGCGGCGAAGGCGGGUUGCUGGGCUGAUACUGACGCUGAGGCGCGAAAGCCAGGGGAGCGAACGGG